RNAcentral lists this long non-coding RNA (305 nucleotides) under Elaeis guineensis (African oil palm). RNAcentral's name for it is "long non-coding RNA (EGUI_LNC047802)". The record is from RNAcentral. Lineage: Eukaryota; Viridiplantae; Streptophyta; Magnoliopsida; Arecales; Arecaceae.
CCUUAAGGAUGUUUCUAUAUUGGGCUCUGAAUUUGAUCUAAUCAAAUUCGAUUCAGAUUUAGUCACUGGUGUCGGUUCUUCUAUCUGUUGAACUUCGUCAAGCUCGACUUUAGAGGCACUUGUUCCUUCACUAAGGAACUUCUUUGCCAAAAAGUAUGCCUUACUGCUAACAAAUACUUUUUGUUCAGUAGGGAGGUAAAAGUAAUAUCUCCUCAUUUCUUUGGGGUACCCUAUAAAAUUAUACUUAUUGGACCUAAGUCCGAGCUUGUCAGUUUGUAAUCGUUUGACAUAAGCCAAACACUCCC